Molecule: unclassified non-coding RNA, 1935 nt
Filed under: Babina adenopleura (olive frog)
Lineage: Eukaryota; Metazoa; Chordata; Amphibia; Anura; Ranidae
Description: partial contains 12S ribosomal RNA, tRNA-Val, and 16S ribosomal RNA
Rfam family: Bacterial large subunit ribosomal RNA
Source: RNAcentral
UACAAUCAAUUUACACCNACCAGCGCCAGGGAAUUACGAGCCAUGCUUAAAACCCAAAGGACUUGACGGUUUCCCACCCCCCUAGAGGAGCCUGUUCUUUAAUCGAUGACCCCCGCUAUACCUAACCACCCCUCGCUAUCAGUCUGUAUACCUCCGUCGAAAGCUUACCAUAUGAGUGCUUCAGUAAGCCUAAUGAUUGCCGUCAACACGUNAGGUCAAGGUGCAGCUUAAGGAGUGGGAAGUGAUGGGCUACAAUUUCUAAACUAGAACAAACGAAAGACCAGAUGAAAUCCUGGUCAUGAAGGCGGAUUUAGUAGUAAAAAGAAAAUAGANUGUUCUUUUUAACAUGGCUCUGGGACGCGUACACACCGCCCGUCACCCUCUUCGACAAUAUCCCUAUCUCGUUCCUAACCCUUUUUCUCAUCUUAGAAGAGGCAAGUCGUAACAUGGUAAGUGUACUGGAAAGUGCACUUGGUACACAAAAUGUAGCUUAACAAAGCCCCCCGCUUACACCGAGAAGUUGUCUGUUAAACCCAGAUCAUUUUGAGCCUAAAAUCUAGCCCUUACAUUCAUAUGAUGCCGUCAACCCAUUGCCUUAAAUAAAACAUUUUUUUAUUCUAGUACAGGCGACAGAAAAAACUUCUAAGCGCUUCAGAUAAAGUACCGCAAGGGAAUAAUGAAAUAGAAAUGAAAUAACCUUAAAGCCCUAAAUAGCAAAGAUAUCCCCUUGUACCUUUUGCAUCAUGGUCUAGCUAGUCUACCCAAGCAAAAUGAAACUUUCAGUUUGACACCCCGAAACUAAGCGAGCUACUUCAAAACAGCCCUAAGAGCUAAUCCGUNUCUGUUGCAAAAGAGUGGAAAGAUUUUCAAGUAGAAGUGAAAAGCCUACCGAGCUUAGAGAUAGCUGGUUGUUCAGGAAAAGAGUUUUAGCUCUACCUUAAGCUUCUCAAUUACACCAAAAACCCUCCCAAACUUAAGAGCCAUUCAAAUAAGGCACAGCUUAUUUGAAAUAGGGCACAACCUCUAACACCGGGUAAAUAAGGGUAACUUAAACAAAGUAGGCCUAAGAGCAGCCACCUUCAAAAAAGCGUUAAAGCUUAUUUAUAAUCACCCACAAUUUCCUAAAUCCUCAUUAACCCUUCACCACUACUGAACUAUUUUAUAUAUUUAUAAAAGCUAUAAUGCUAGAACUAGUAACAAGAAAUAGCCCUUCUCCAAAAUGUAAGCUUACACCAAAAUGGACAAUCCAUUGGUAAUUAACGCAAAUGUUAUAGCCACAGCAACACACCUCUAGAAAACCCUGUGACCUCCUACGUUACCCUUACACUAGAACAUCUCAGGAAAGAUUAAAAGAGAAAGAAGGAACUCGGCAAAUCCUCAGCCCCGCCUGUUUACCAAAAACAUCGCCUCUUGACCAAGUAUAAGAGGUCCAGCCUGCCCAGUGACAAAAUUCAACGGCCGCGGUACCCUAACCGUGCGAAGGUAGCAUAAUCACUUGUUCUCUAAAUAGGGACUAGUAUCAACGGCAUCACGAGGGCUGAACUGUCUCCUUUCUCCAAUCAGUGAAACUGAUCUCCCCGUGAAGAAGCGGGGAUUAUUAUAUAAGACGAGAAGACCCCAUGGAGCUUUAAACUCAUCACUCACUUCCUCACCUCCAUGCCCGACCAUAUAAGGAAUCUGUGUGAUAGUUUUGGGUUGGGGGGACCACGGAGUACAAUUUAACCUCCAUGACAAAUGGGCUAACGCCCUUAUCUACGAACUACAACUCUAAGAAUCAUAAACUGAUGUUUGAUGACCCGACAAUUCGAUCAACGAACCAAGUUACCCUGGGGAUAACAGCGCAAUCUACUUUAAGAGCCCCUAUCGACAAGUAGGUUUACGACCUCGAUGUUGGAUCAGGGUAUCCUAGGGGUGCAGCCGCUCCUAACGGUUCGU